AGAUUGAACGCUGGCGGCAUGCCUAACACAUGCAAGUCGAACGGCAGCGCGGGUAGCAAUACCUGGCGGCGAGUGGCGGACGGGUGAGGAAUACAUAGGAAUCUACCCUGUCGUGGGGGAUAACGUAGGGAAACUUACGCUAAUACCGCAUACGACCGAGAGGUGAAAGCGGCGGACCGCAAGGCGUCGCGCGGCUGGAUGAGCCUAUGUCCGAUUAGCUAGUUGGCGGGGUAAGAGCCCACCAAGGCGACGAUCGGUAGCUGGUCUGAGAGGAUGAUCAGCCACACUGGGACUGAGACACGCCCAGACUCCUACGGGAGCAGCAGUGGGAAUAUUGGACAAGUGGGCGCAAGCCUGAUCCAGCAAGUGCCGCGUGUGUGAAGAAGGCCUUCGGUUAGUAA
Molecule: ribosomal RNA, 401 nt
Filed under: uncultured soil bacterium
Lineage: Bacteria
Description: bacterial SSU rRNA
Rfam family: Bacterial small subunit ribosomal RNA
Source: RNAcentral